RNAcentral lists this ribosomal RNA (253 nucleotides) under uncultured bacterium. RNAcentral's name for it is "partial 16S ribosomal RNA". It matches the Rfam family "Bacterial small subunit ribosomal RNA", at positions 524 to 776 of the family's 1533-position model. The record is from RNAcentral.
UACAGAGGGGGCAAGCGUUAUUCGGAAUUAUCGGGCGUAAAGGGCGCGUAGGCGGCUUUGCAAGUGACGGGUGAAAGCCCUCGGCUUAACCGAGGAACUGCCUGUCAGACUGUAAGGCUUGAGACCGGGAGAGGUGAGUGGAAUUCCCAGUGUAGCGGUGAAAUGCGUAGAUAUUGGGAGGAACACCAGUGGCGAAGGCGGCUCACUGGACCGGAACUGACGCUGAGGCGCGAAAGCGUGGGGAGCAAACAGG